UUUUAGCUUGCAUGGUCAUUUUUACAGCCCCAUACUGCCAUGAAAAGUGAGGACUGUUUGUGUGUCUAAAAUGUUUAACAGAGUUAAGAAGCCUCGUUUCUCAUCUUCCUCAAAAGUAUGUCAUAAAGAUCCCCGACAAGAGCAUCACUUAAAAAUCCAGCAGGAAGAGCCUCUGCCUUCAGGAGGAUCCACUUUGGAAAAGGC
Molecule: long non-coding RNA, 204 nt
Filed under: Homo sapiens (human)
Lineage: Eukaryota; Metazoa; Chordata; Mammalia; Primates; Hominidae
Description: non-protein coding MIR4713HG:8
Source: RNAcentral